Molecule: ribosomal RNA, 439 nt
Filed under: uncultured bacterium
Lineage: Bacteria
Description: partial 16S ribosomal RNA
Rfam family: Bacterial small subunit ribosomal RNA
Source: RNAcentral
CUACGGGGCGCAGCAGUGAGGAAUAUUGCACAAUGGGGGAAACCCUGAUGCAGCAACGCCGCGUGGAGGAUGACGCAUUUCGGUGUGUAAACUCCUUUUAUAUGUCAAGAAAAUGACGGUAGCAUAUGAAUAAGCACCGGCUAACUCCGUGCCAGCAGCCGCGGUAAUACGGAGGGUGCAAGCGUUACUCGGAAUCACUGGGCGUAAAGGACGCGUAGGCUGGCUGGUAAGUCAGGUGUGAAAUCCUACAGCUUAACUGUAGAACUGCACUUGAAACUACCAACCUAGAGUAUGGGAGGGGGAGAUGGAAUUAGUGGUGUAGGGGUAAAAUCCGUAGAUAUCACUAGGAAUACCGAAAGCGAAGGCGAUCUCCUGGAACAUAACUGACGCUAAGGCGUGAAAGCGUGGGGAGCAAACAGGAUUAGAUACACCAGUAGUC